CUUCAUCGUUUCUGUGCCUUCAACCGAAAUCGACGAUUCGAAAUAUGGUUGGAUUACAUCGAACGGAUAUCCGUGAGAGUUCAGUCGUUUCAAUUUUGAGAAUGCCCACUCAUCAAAAUCGAAUUCGAGAGGUUCAAGGUUUUAAAGAAUUUUGUGGAUGUUCGCGCUCGAUCGUUCUGCCGCCAGGAGGUACGGACUAUGGAUCAGUAAUGAGCAAGCGGCCAGACUUCUUAGAAUUCCGUGUGUCAGGCAGCGAGAAUAGUGACCUACGCAUGCAGAGCGUUCAGAAGCGCGCAAGCGUGAGCAUGAGCUCUACGUAAUUGGCGAUAUAUUGGUGAUGUCGAGCUGACGAAAAAUUUUAAAAGUUGUGAAACGUUUCCUUUUUCAAAUUAUCCAUCACAAGUUGAAACGUUGAAAGGUGGAUACACGGUUACCGUAUUGUAACACAGCAAUUGGGUAAUAAUAAUAAAUCUACGAAAAGAUGAGAGCCAUAAAUACGAUGAGCCUUAAACACCGUGCCCCUUACGCCAUAAGCACGUGAUUACGAUAUCCUUGGUACGGCAUGGCGCUAUUAUGACACACUUACGUUAUAAUAAUACGGUUACGACCAGUUUUUACAGUGAUAAGUAAAGGAAAAUUCGCCUUUGUUGGUUGUAUAAAUUACUGCGAUUAAAUGCAAUUUAAUUAUAAUGCACACCGUAUCGAAAUACAAGCAAAUUUGUAACGACGAUCGAUUUCUCCCCCUUUAUACACGUUGGUUCAGCGAGUUUAUCCGUAUUGCAUCUGGGAUCAAAAUCCGCGGAGAAAAAUUAAUGAAUGGUAUAUUCACGCGCGGAAUUAAAUUCAAUUUUCAUCAAUAUCCACGCGGAUGAAUUACGUGAAACGCAAAUAUAAUUUUAUUAUCGGUAACACUUUUCAUCGUGUUCUUCACCGAAGAAACGUUACACGACGAAAAUAAUGAUUGAAUCUCGAAGUCAAGUUUUUUCUCGAUAUUCUUAAAUCACAAAAAUGUAUAUCUUCGAAUUUUUUAUCGGACUUGUGUACACGAGCACACAGAGAAGUUCUACGAUAUUUCUCUACGUUUUCUUACUCACUUUACUCUCGCCUCGCACCGAAGGAUAUCGCCGAAAAUCGAUCGCGGAGUCCCUCGGGGCAGUGAGAAGGCCGCUAACGAGAGCCAGGGAACUCGGCGGCAAGAAAAUGAGCGAGCGUAACAGCAAGAAAACAGGUUGGGAAUAUCGCACGGUCUGACAGGAGGGCUUUACGUGCGCCGCUGCUGAUUACGGGCGCGAUCGAGGCCCCGGCGUAUCUGGCAGCGCGCGGCGCAUCUCGUAAUCGCGAUGCACCGCCAGUUUUUGCGGCGCGUCUAACGCGCGAGCGGAACGGUGGCACGAUUUCACGCGCAUGCAAGAACGUGCGUACCGUACGUGGGCUGUUACUCCGUACGUACAGGGUGUUCCGACGUAUACAGGCCUGAGCAACCUCGGGCCGAUGGAAAAUGAUAUAAUCUCUCUCUCUCUCUCUCUCUAGAAUAAAAAAUUAAAAUGUCAAUAAAGCAUCGACCGGGGAUCGAUGUGGAUAGCUUAACACACGCGAUUACGGGGGAAUGUAAAUGAACGGCUAUAUCUACGGCUCUUUAGGAACGAAACUCGAGCGAAGCGGAGCAAAUGGAGAAAAAAAAUUUUUAUUUCAAGUUCAUUUCCCUGUAAGUGCAUUUUACUUCAAUUCGCGGCUCGUUCAUCAAAGUGUUACAACAUGAGGAAACGUGAAACCGACGGGAGGCGAAUUUUUGGCGAAGAUGUGGCUCGACUUUGGAUUCAUCGAAGGCUCGUAAAGUUCGUCGGGGGUUACCUACGUUGUUGCGGAACAAUCUGGAUACACGCUGCCGGAUUCUCCGGCAACGGCCUCUCGAGCUCUUCCACGCGGAAGCAAAGCAUCCACAACGCUUCGCAAGACUUUGCGCCGCUCUAGAGUAUAUUACGCCCGAAACACACGACCGCAUAAAUGGCAUAAAAGUUUCGCGCCGCUGCUCGCCGACUUACUGCAGCUCGUACCCUGCCAACGCUCAUCCGCGGACGCAACUUUCAAUUCUGAUAACAGGGGAAUGGCGCGCUUACACAUCCGACACGAUGCUAUCGUCCUCAUUGUACAUUGCGCGAUAUCGAACGUUGUUUGCGGAGGGGCUACUUUUGGAGCGACCGAAGUAGAUAAAUUGAAGUUCAUUAUACUCAAUUUUCUCUCGUUCUCGUCCGCGCAACGCGUAUUUGCGAGGAAAGGAUACAAAUUCGCUCAAUAUUCUUAUACAUUAAACCCGUAUAAUGAUGCUAAUUGAAUUAAUGGGUCUAUUUUUAAAAAAUCCACCUUCAUAAACACGGUUGACAAAAAAUCCCAAGUUUUUUACGUUCAAAAUUACAAAAGAAUAUAAAGAUUUCCUCUUCGACUAUAAAUUAUUUCAUUGCACAGUGCAAUGACUGUUUCAUGGAGUAAUUAACUUAAUUAUAUCAGCGGUUUUUUUUAUACAACUAGCGUGUGGCGUAAGAAACAUUAAAUUAGAAUAUCAUGCUGUUUUUCACCGAAAAUGUAUUGAAUAUUUCUAAAAAAAAAAAAAAAAAGAAUCGCAUAAAAACGUGGGUAUUUCCUGAAAAUAUUUACUUGAUAACGAAUGCGAAUGUUGAUUAAAACAUAUGAAUGCGAUACAUAAAUUGGAUGUACUGUUACUACCCAUCUGUCUGCAAAGGUGUAAUCUAUUGGGUAUUUACUCGUUUCGAGAGCAAUUCUACCGGGCGCGGAACUCGAUAUUUUAUUGCUACGAAUGAUCCUUAUAGGACGGACGCACUACUCACAAGGACUCGUCGUGUCGAGAGAGAUGUUCGCGAAGCGUAACGAGAAGUCGUCGGAGCGAGUCGCCCUGUCUUCUUGUAAAAGAAAAAGAAAGAAAGGAAAGGAUGGAGAUCCGCCACUUCCGUCCAA
Long non-coding RNA from Wasmannia auropunctata (little fire ant), 2970 nucleotides. RefSeq lists it as uncharacterized. The transcript is spliced from 3 exons. NCBI's taxonomy places the organism in Eukaryota, Metazoa, Arthropoda, Insecta, Hymenoptera, Formicidae. The record is from RefSeq and is a predicted model, not a curated record.